Molecule: ribosomal RNA, 253 nt
Filed under: uncultured bacterium
Lineage: Bacteria
Description: partial 16S ribosomal RNA
Rfam family: Bacterial small subunit ribosomal RNA
Source: RNAcentral
UACGUAGGGUGCAAGCGUUGUCCGGAAUUAUUGGGCGUAAAGGGCUCGUAGGCGGUUUGUCACGUCGGGUGUGAAAACUCGGGGCUCAACCCCGAGCCUGCUUCCGAUACGGGCAGACUGGAGGUAUGCAGGGGAGAACGGAAUUCCUGGUGUAGCGGUGAAAUGCGCAGAUAUCAGGAGGAACACCGGUGGCGAAGGCGGUUCUCUGGGCAUUACCUGACGCUGAGGAGCGAAAGUGUGGGGAGCGAACAGG